RNAcentral lists this microRNA precursor (103 nucleotides) under Marmota monax (woodchuck). Lineage: Eukaryota; Metazoa; Chordata; Mammalia; Rodentia; Sciuridae. The record is from RNAcentral.
AGUGGGAUUGCUGGGUCAUAUGGUCAUUCAAUUCCUAGUUUUUUGAGGUAUCUCCAUACUGCUUUGCAGAGUGGUUGUACUAAUUUGCUGUUCUACCAACAAU